Long non-coding RNA from Zingiber officinale, 199 nucleotides. RefSeq lists it as uncharacterized. The transcript is spliced from 3 exons. The record is from RefSeq and is a predicted model, not a curated record. NCBI's taxonomy places the organism in Eukaryota, Viridiplantae, Streptophyta, Magnoliopsida, Zingiberales, Zingiberaceae.
GAUUCUUUGUUUUUUUGUCCCAGAUUUGCAUCCUUGGAUCCUAGUUUGAGUGGUAAAAGUGCAGAACCAGUAUAUCGUGAUGCAAAAGGGAAAGCUAUUUCAAAGGAAGAGCUACUGAAACCAAAGGAGGAAGAGAAACCAAAGUUUACAAAUCUCAAGUACUCCAGAGUUGAAAUUGAUGAAGUGCGGUUCGAGUGGG